This 305-nucleotide ribosomal RNA is filed under the name uncultured bacterium. RNAcentral describes it as "bacterial SSU rRNA". It matches the Rfam family "Bacterial small subunit ribosomal RNA", at positions 337 to 640 of the family's 1533-position model. The record is from RNAcentral.
UCCUACGGGGGGCAGCAGUGAGGAAUAUUGGUCAAUGGUCGGGAGACUGAACCAGCUAAGCCGCGUGAGGGAUGAAGGUACAGAGUAUCGUAAACCUCUUUUGUCAGGGAACAAAGGCGGGGACGUGUCCCCGGAUGAGUGUACCUGAAGAAAAAGCAUCGGCUAACUCCGUGCCAGCAGCCGCGGUAAUACGGAGGAUGCGAGCGUUAUCCGGAUUUAUUGGGCUUAAAGGGGGCGCAGGCGGGCUGUUAAGGCAGCGGUCAAAGCCCGGGGCUCAACCCCGGCCCGCCGUUGAAACUGGCAGU